This 451-nucleotide ribosomal RNA is filed under the name uncultured bacterium. RNAcentral's name for it is "partial 16S ribosomal RNA". It matches the Rfam family "Bacterial small subunit ribosomal RNA", at positions 354 to 796 of the family's 1533-position model. The record is from RNAcentral.
GUGGGGAAUAUUGCGCAAUGGGGGAAACCCUGACGCAGCAACGCCGCGUGAGUGAGGAAGGACUUCGGUCUGUAAAGCUCUGUUAAUGUGGAAAAAUGGUAGCUGGUCUAAUAGGCCGAUUAUUUGAUGGUACACAUAGAGGAAGCACCGGCUAACUUCGUGCCAGCAGCCGCGGUAAUACGAAGGGUGCAAGCGUUGUUCGGAUUUAUUGGGCGUAAAGCGCGCGUAGGCGGACCUGCAAGUCAGAUGUGAAAUCUCGGGGCUCAACCCCGAAACUGCGUCUGAAGCUACAGGUCUAGAAUCUUGGAGGGGGAAGGGGAAUAUCGCAUGUAGGGGUAAAAUCCGUAGAUAUGCGAUGGAACACCAGAGGCGAAGGCGCCUUCCUGGACAAGUAUUGACGCUGAGGCGCGAAAGCGUGGGGAUCAAACAGGAUUAGAAACCCGUGUAGUCC